Long non-coding RNA from Acinonyx jubatus (cheetah), 2982 nucleotides. RefSeq lists it as uncharacterized. NCBI's taxonomy places the organism in Eukaryota, Metazoa, Chordata, Mammalia, Carnivora, Felidae. The record is from RefSeq and is a predicted model, not a curated record. The transcript is spliced from 3 exons.
GCGCGCGUGGCCGAGUGUGUAUGUGUGCAUCUGCCAAUCAACGCUGACAGGCCGCCGCCCAUUGGCCGGGCCCCGCCCGCGUCACCGCCCACUGCCACCGCCCAUUGGGCUGUUUGAACACAAAGGCCCCAGUUCGCUCCGCCCGCCGCGUGGGCCCCGGGGGCCCGGCGAGCCUCGCCUGGAGUCCGCGCGUGGGAGGCGCGGGGGGCGGUGCCGAGCCCCGGGAGCACGCAGCUGGAUCCCGCAAGUUGGGGCUCGGCCGGGCCUGACUGCGCACUUGACUCCAGGUCUGGUGGCUCAAAACACCUGAUCCCGCUCCGAGCACCGCCUCGUGCGCCUCACCCCACCCGUGGCCUUCCGGCCGUGGCGUCCCCGCGCUCCGCAAACGGACUCCACACGCGGGAUGCCAGGGCUUUAAAGGCAUCGGGUGAUUGGGGAGACACAGCCUCUCUGAGGACGGCUCCCCACCAACCCCCCACCGAGUGGGGAGCAGGAAAAGUAGAAGACCCUUGGCCUAAGGCCCACCUGGAAGGGUAGCUAGUAGUUAGUCCUCAGCGGACUAGCCAACGAUUGUUGAAGGGAUGCUAAACGCCUGGCGCAUGCGUAAUUGUCCUUUUAGCCAGGCAUUUCCACACCCAUUUUAGAGGAUGAAAACGAAAACAUUUCCGUGGGCCCUGGGCGCCACGCCUGUUCUGCCUGAUGGGAAAGUUCGCCGUGUGCUGGGGAUGUUCGAGGAACAGCUCAGCCGGGGGGAGCCCGAACGGGCCCACUGGGGCGCUCCUGGGCCACAGAACACUCUCCAACUCUCACCCAGACCAGCCAGAGGAAGUGAGGCGUCAGGGUAGGAGUGAUAAAAAGUGAGGAUACAGGGGCUGCCGCCCUGGCUCCAGGCCAGGUGCCCCACUUGCUUGCUCUGUGAUCUGGGGGCGGCCACUUGGCCUCUCGGAGCCAUUUGCCUCACUCAUAAAAUGUGAAUAGUAGCGACCAUCCUGUGUAUGACCUUGGACGAGUCAGCAAGGCCCCCUGGCCUCUGUUUCCCCGUGUGUGAGGUCAAGUGAGGAGAGAAACUGCUCAAACAUCAAGGGCUUUUGCCAAUGGAGAUCUUUGGGAAGACGAGGGAGGAGGUCAGCCUCCUGGUCUGUCGUGGGCUCGUAGUCAAGUCAGGGAGCUUCUCUGUGCUUCCAGAGACCCGGGCGCCCACAUGGAGGUGGAAUGACCUGUGUACCCCUCUGCCUGCCCCACGUGCCAGGGACGGGUCCAUAGCGCUCAGUCGUGCGCACAAGUGACACACAAGUGACAGUAAAGCCUCCAGCCACCUCACUGCUGCCCAGGCCACCUCUACCUCUUCCUCUCUGCUGUCAGCACAGCUGGCGACAGGACUCCACAUUUAUGGGAUCUUUCAUCCCGAGAACUCAAAGAGCUCUGUCACUGGGUGGCAAGCACAGUUAAGCCUGUUUUAUGGACGGGAAAGGCCAGUCCGAGGAAGGAAAGGUACUGGGGCCAGGUUACUAAGUGGGCCAGCCGGGCGCCAGGGACCUGGAACAGAAGGACACUCCCAGCCAGGCUCUUAUGGGUGACUGUGCCUUAGUCGUCUCUGUCCCCCCACGCCUGUUACAGGGCCAGCCUCCUAAUAACCGCUCAGUAAACCUGCUUCCGCUAACUGCCUGACUCCCCAGCCUUCAGACACCCCACACCCCAGUGUGGCAGCCGCAGACCCCUGAGUGCCCCGCUUGCAGUCCCCAGAGCUGAGCCCUCCUCGGCCUCACCCAGGGCCCCUCCCGCUUGCACACCUUUGCCCAGGCCGCGCACUGGCCUAGAAUGCCCUUUCCCCAUUUCUCGGCCUGAUGAAUCUCUACGAAGCUUUCAAGGAUGGGCUCAAAUGUCACUUGUCCCGUGGAGGCUUGCUUCCUUGCCUGCAAACUCCCCAGGCGGGAGGAAAGGCUCCCGUACCAUGUUCCGGCAUCCCUCAUCCCCUUGUCCAGGCGCUUCUCACAUUGUGUUCUGGAACGGGAGCAUCAGUCACCCACAGCGCCCAGGGAUAGCGUGAGCUCUAGACAGGCCAGUGCCUGACACUCGGUGGAAGCUUUGACGAUCACUCCUCGCCCCCUGCAAGGCGUCUGGCCGAAUGGCUUGCCCGGCCUGUGCGGUCAGGAGGCCAGUCAGAGGCAGCACUGGGGCCUCUGAGGGCACUGGCCCCUGGGCCACUGCUCAUGGGCUCAUGUAGAAGAACUUGCCUGAUAUCCCCGUGAGGUUGUCUCUCCUGCAAAUGACUCCCAGCCCCUUGACAUCCCCACCACCUGCUCCCCCUCCUGUGGGGACAUUGCUGGGCCCAUUAAUCAGCCCUUCUCAGCCUCAGUGUCCUCAUCCGUACAGUGGGGAUGGCGUUGACGUGUCUACUUCAUACAAGCUUAGCCCAGUGCUUGGCACAGAGUGAAGUGCUCGAUCAAGGUCGACUGCUUUCUAAUUUACGAAGCAUUUGUUCAGCCGAUGCCUACUGCAUGCCUGCUUUGCCAGUGACCCAGAGCCGGUCCCGCUGGAGAGGGAGGUGAGUAAGCAGAUCAUCACCACACAGUGAGGCCCCGGGAGGGACACAGGCCUCUAAGGGCCCCUCUGACCAGGGCCUCGGUAUCACUUCCAUGGGCCCUUCCUCCGUAAAAAUAUUAAAAAUUCUCCUCUGCAGCUGUGUUGGUAUAAAGGGCAACAUAAUGCAGGCUACGCUGUAUCCAUUUCCCCCCCUUCUGAUGGAAAACAUGUCCUCGGGCCUUAAAAGUGCUGUGGGCCCUGGUACUGUGCCUGCUGUGCGUAAGGGUCUGGCUGCGACUGUCCUCACCCAGAUCUGGGGAGUCAGAGAAGCUGCCAUUCUGCCCUGCCCUCCAGGGGCCUGUGGUGAGGAUGUGAGCUGCACCGGACGACAGGGGCAGCGGUCCUCACAGCAUUGCUAUUGUUGGUGUGGCCAGCAGGCCUGUCCCACGCAGGGACAGA